CUCAAGCCACGCUGCAUAACCCGAGACCUCAAAUGGGGAACCCCUGUACCCUUAGAAGGUUUUGAAGACAAGGUAUUCUAUGUCUGGUUUGAUGCCACUUUUGGCUAUCUGUCCAUCACAGCCAACUACACAGACCAGUGGGAGAGAUGGUGGAAGAACCCAGAGCAAGUGAGCAGUUCUUAGUUAGACUGUGCAUGGGGAGGGUAGGCGGUAGGGUGUGGGUGUUAGGGUUGGGUGUCUGGUCUUCCUUGGGCCUUUGAAGAAGGCCUGAGGAAAUCUCUCCUAACCACAUUCCCCUAGGUGGACCUGUAUCAGUUCAUGGCCAAAGACAAUGUUCCUUUCCAUGGCUUAGUCUUUCCUUGCUCAGCCCUAGGAGCUGAGGAUAACUAUACCUUGGUCAGCCACCUCAUUGCUACAGAGUACCUGAACUAUGAGGAUGGGAAAUUCUCUAAGAGCCGGGGUGUGGGAGUGUUUGGGGACAUGGCCCAGGACACGGGGAUCCCUGCUGACAUCUGGCGCUUCUAUCUGCUGUACAUUCGGCCUGAGGGCCAGGACAGUGCUUUCUCCUGGACGGACCUGCUGCUGAAGAAUAAUUCUGAGCUGCUUAACAACCUGGGCAACUUCAUCAACAGAGCUGGGAUGUUUGUGUCUAAGUUCUUUGGGGGCUAUGUGCCUGAGAUGGUGCUCACCCCUGAUGAUAAGCGCCUGCUGGCCCAUGUCACCCUGGAGCUCCAGCACUAUCACCAGCUACUUGA
Molecule: small RNA, 755 nt
Filed under: Pongo abelii (Sumatran orangutan)
Lineage: Eukaryota; Metazoa; Chordata; Mammalia; Primates; Hominidae
Description: retained intron
Source: RNAcentral